UGGGGAAUAUUGCACAAUGGGCGCAAGCCUGAUGCAGCCAUGCCGCGUGUGUGAAGAAGGCCUUCGGGUUGUAAAGCACUUUCAGCGAGGAGGAAGGUGGUGAACUUAAUACGUUCAUCAAUUGACGUUACUCGCAGAAGAAGCACCGGCUAACUCCGUGCCAGCAGCCGCGGUAAUACGGAGGGUGCAAGCGUUAAUCGGAAUUACUGGGCGUAAAGCGCACGCAGGCGGUUUGUUAAGUCAGAUGUGAAAAUCCCCGGGCUCAACCUGGGAACUGCAUUUGAAACUGGCAAGCUAGAGUCUCGUAGAGGGGGGUAGAAUUCCAGGUGUAGCGGUGAAAUGCGUAGAGAUCUGGAGGAAUACCGGUGGCGAAGGNGGCCCCCUGGACGAAGACUGACGCUCAGGUGCGAAAAGCGUGGGGAGCAAAACAGGAUUAGAUACCCUGGUAGUCCACGCUGUAAAACGAUGUCGAUUUGGAGGUUGUGCCCUUGAGGCGUGGCUUCCGGAGCUAACGCGUUAAAUCGACCGCCUGGGGAGUACGGCCGCAAGGUU
RNAcentral lists this ribosomal RNA (552 nucleotides) under uncultured bacterium. RNAcentral's name for it is "partial 16S ribosomal RNA". It matches the Rfam family "Bacterial small subunit ribosomal RNA", at positions 355 to 895 of the family's 1533-position model. The record is from RNAcentral.